AUCACAGACAGAGUGGUCAGGUUGGCCAAGC
This 31-nucleotide non-coding RNA is filed under the name Homo sapiens (human). Lineage: Eukaryota; Metazoa; Chordata; Mammalia; Primates; Hominidae. The record is from RNAcentral.